Molecule: ribosomal RNA, 116 nt
Filed under: Salmonella enterica
Lineage: Bacteria; Pseudomonadati; Pseudomonadota; Gammaproteobacteria; Enterobacterales; Enterobacteriaceae
Also listed under: 2 other names
Source: RNAcentral
CCUGGCGGCACUAGCGUGGUGGUCCCACCUGACCCCAUGCCGAACUCAGAAGUGAAACGCCGUAGCGCCGAUGGUAGUGUGGGGUCUCCCCAUGCGAGAGUAGGGAACUGCCAGGC